AUAAUCAUUUAGAUGCUUACUCCAAAAGGGAUAAUGGAAUAUAUUGGCUUGAGAGGAAAAAAAGGAGGGGGAUAAGGAUAUUUAAUGGAUAUUUGUAUGCCGGAAAAAGAUUCUUGAAAUAUGAUUUUAUUUAAUAUGACAUCUUGUUGAGAGGUUAAAAGAAAAUCUGUGGUACAAUGAACAAGGCAUAUUCAAUAUCCAUUAAAAUUCUAAAAUUGUGAUUAUUAUACAAUAAUUUUUCUUCAGAAAUAGAGUAAACUGCCAAUAAAUUCCAUUAAAUAAGAGAAAACAUUGAUGAACAAGAUAGAAAGAACGAGCGAAACAAUACAAUUUAAAAAAUAUUAUCUUAUCUUCGCAAAAAUUGACGAAAGCAAAGCUCGACAAAAAUUGGAGAAAUGAAAAAGAAAAAAAAAUUACUUAAUUACCUUUCAAUUGCAAAAUUUGAAUAUUGAAUCGCGUUUUAAAUAAUAAUUUCCAUAAAACGAGCGCGUUUUGUAAUUUAAAUGGAACGACCACCCGCCAUUGGAUUAUAAAUCGAUCGGAUAAUAAAUGGCGCCGAAGAAUAAAUCUGUUAAAACAGUGGGGAGAGGCUACGUGUUGUACACGUCACAUUGCUAAACGAAUGGAUACGGCUGUGAGGUUGCCGCAGAGAGACCGCAGGUUCGUUUGCAUAGUCGGAAUCCCGUGGACAAAGUAGUAAAGUCCAAAGUGUAUUCCCGGUUAAGGAAGCACGGCAGAUGGAGAACAAGGCGCCAUUGUUCCGUUGAUAUGCUCGAUGAUGCACGGCAAAACGACAAAUCUAGAUUCUACUAAAUUUACCACACUAACUGAUAUUAUAUUGGGCCGUGUGCACAGAGGAGGGCAUCUUUUUAUCACUCGUUCGAAAAUUGAUUAAUUUUUUGAAUUGCUAGUUUUGCUAGAUUUAUCUCGAAAGAUUUACUUAUUCUCUUCCUGAAAUUGGUGAAAUGAUGAUAUUAUACGAUUUUUUUUAUUAUUAUUUUAUCCGUCAUUUAUUCGUAGAAAAUGCAGAACUCAUUACCACUGACGAUGUAAUGGUUACUGGAGCAAUUUCGACAAAAAAGGAAAGGCAAACAGGAUUUUAAUGGAAAGAAAACAAGAAAAUAAAAUAAGAACGCAAAGGAAGAUGUUAAUUAUUUUAAACAAUCGCGUGUAAGAAAGUAAGUGGACAACGAGUCGAGUAAUAUUACCUACUUCGACUCCUCGUUUCUUCUUAAUUCAAUUACAGCCCGGAGAAUAAGUACGCCCCGCGCAUACAGAGAAAAAGAAAUCUAUAUAAAGGCACACAAAGGGUGAAACGGGUACGCGCGGCACUGUCUAAUGGCCGCGGUUCGUCGCCCUUCGCCUCGUUCAAUCCCCUGUCUGUCGUCUGGAAGAACUGUGACGACGAGGGGUUGCGCCUCGUCGCGAACCGGAGAGGGUGAAACGGCACGGAUACCAGCCGAAACGUUCGUCCACCCACCCAUCCACCCUCCACCGCGCUUUUACUACCAGACGAGCGGAGGGGGUUGGCCAGACUCGUGACGUCGCGACUCGGGCUGACGUCAUCACCGCUUCGACGUCACAACCCACUCCAACUGCUGGUGGCAAUCCGUGACGUCACCAACGUUCGAUCCGCAGCGAAUUUUUGUAGCAAACGGCGCGCGCCGUUUUCAAUGUGAAAUGGAAUGGUGAAGUGGAUAAUGGAUUUCCAUGGAUGUGGAGAUAAUUGUUUCUUUGGGCACGAUUUCUUGUAAUACGUGUCUGAAUGACGAAGGAAAGGGAUUAGGUCGUUCGUUAGGGCUGAAUAGGGCUCUUUUUUGAUAUAGAAGAUGUUUUUUUUUUGGUUAAAUUAUCUUUUAAAAUGUUUGAUUUUUACUUGUUUAUAGAGAGAUUUUGUUGGAUGAAUUUUGUUUUUUUUUUUCAAUAUUUUUUUCAGUGUUCUUUUAAACAAAGAAUUGUUCGAUCGAAAAGUUUUUAAUAUUUGGUUGGUUUUCGGGACUGUUUUUACACAUCAAUUAGCUUCUCUAAUCUGAAAGAAGUAUUUAUAAAUCUCCGAUACAAGGUAACUCGACGCGAUCUAGCGAUUUAUUCGGUCUAGCUAAGGUUUCGUUUACGGCACAGAUUAAAUUAAUUUCUUCUGGUAAAAAACUUUCCAACGAAAACUUACUUUUGCAUAGAAUUCUAGUA
Apis mellifera (honey bee) is the source of this 2187-nucleotide long non-coding RNA. RefSeq lists it as uncharacterized. The transcript has 3 exons. The record is from RefSeq and is a predicted model, not a curated record. NCBI's taxonomy places the organism in Eukaryota, Metazoa, Arthropoda, Insecta, Hymenoptera, Apidae.